RNAcentral lists this ribosomal RNA (468 nucleotides) under uncultured bacterium. RNAcentral describes it as "partial 16S ribosomal RNA". It matches the Rfam family "Bacterial small subunit ribosomal RNA", at positions 28 to 507 of the family's 1533-position model. The record is from RNAcentral.
GACGAACGCUGGCGGCGUGCUUAACACCUGCAAGUCGAACGGAAAGGCCCUGCUUUUGUGGGGUGCUCGAGUGGCGAACGGGUGAGUAACACGUGAGUAACCUGCCCUUGACUUUGGGAUAACUUCAGGAAACUGGGGCUAAUACCGGAUAGGAGCUCCUGCUGCAUGGUGGGGGUUGGAAAGUUUCGGCGGUUGGGGAUGGACUCGCGGCUUAUCAGCUUGUUGGUGGGGUAGUGGCUUACCAAGGCUUUGACGGGUAGCCGGCCUGAGAGGGUGACCGGCCACAUUGGGACUGAGAUACGGCCCAGACUCCUACGGGAGGCAGCAGCGGGGAAUAUUGCACAAUGGGCGGAAGCCUGAUGCAGCAACGCCGCGUGCGGGAUGACGGCCUUCGGGUUGUAAACCGCUUUCGCCUGUGACGAAGCGUGAGUGACGGUAAUGGGUAAAGAAGCACCGGCUAACUACGUG